RNAcentral lists this long non-coding RNA (228 nucleotides) under Elaeis guineensis (African oil palm). Its description in RNAcentral is "long non-coding RNA (EGUI_LNC041472)". Lineage: Eukaryota; Viridiplantae; Streptophyta; Magnoliopsida; Arecales; Arecaceae. The record is from RNAcentral.
CUAUAUAUGAUCCUUUCAGUGGGUAAUAGUAAUUGGCAUAUGACCCUGUCAGUAGAUAAUAAUAAUUGGCAUAUGAUCCUGCCAGUGGAUAAUAGUAAUUGGCAUACGAUCUUGCCAAUGGAUAAUAGUAGUUGAUAUACAAUCCUAUCAAUGGGUAAUAGUAGUUGAUACAUAAUUAUGGUUCUAUCACGGGUAUAAUAGUGACCAUAACAUUUAGUCUCAAAGAAU